Molecule: ribosomal RNA, 1368 nt
Filed under: uncultured bacterium
Lineage: Bacteria
Description: bacterial SSU rRNA
Rfam family: Bacterial small subunit ribosomal RNA
Source: RNAcentral
GACGAACGCUGGCGGCGUGCCUAAUACAUGCAAGUAGAACGCUGAAGAGAGGAGCUUGCUCUUCUUGGAUGAGUUGCGAACGGGUGAGUAACGCGUAGGUAACCUGCCUUGUAGCGGGGGAUAACUAUUGGAAACGAUAGCUAAUACCGCAUAACAAUGGAUGACACAUGUCAUUUAUUUGAAAGGGGCAAUCGCUCCACUACAAGAUGGACCUGCGUUGUAUUAGCUAGUAGGUGAGGUAACGGCUCACCUAGGCGACGAUACAUAGCCGACCUGAGAGGGUGAUCGGCCACACUGGGACUGAGACACGGCCCAGACUCCUACGGGAGGCAGCAGUAGGGAAUCUUCGGCAAUGGGGGCAACCCUGACCGAGCAACGCCGCGUGAGUGAAGAAGGUUUUCGGAUCGUAAAGCUCUGUUGUAAGUCAAGAACGAGUGUGAGAGUGGAAAGUUCACACUGUGACGGUAGCUUACCAGAAAGGGACGGCUAACUACGUGCCAGCAGCCGCGGUAAUACGUAGGUCCCGAGCGUUGUCCGGAUUUAUUGGGCGUAAAGCGAGCGCAGGCGGUUUGAUAAGUCUGAAGUUAAAGGCUGUGGCUCAACCAUAGUUCGCUUUGGAAACUGUCAAACUUGAGUGCAGAAGGGGAGAGUGGAAUUCCACGUGUAGCGGUGAAAUGCGUAGAUAUAUGGAGGAACACCGGUGGCGAAAGCGGCUCUCUGGUCUGUAACUGACGCUGAGGCUCGAAAGCGUGGGGAGCGAACGGGAUUAGAUACCCUGGUAGUCCACGCCGUAAACGAUGAGUGCUAGGUGUUGGAUCCUUUCCGGGAUUCAGUGCCGCAGCUAACGCAUUAAGCACUCCGCCUGGGGAGUACGACCGCAAGGUUGAAACUCAAAGGAAUUGACGGGGGCCCGCACAAGCGGUGGAGCAUGUGGUUUAAUUCGAAGCAACGCGAAGAACCUUACCAGGUCUUGACAUCCCGAUGCUAUUUCUAGAGAUAGAAAGUUACUUCGGUACAUCGGUGACAGGUGGUGCAUGGUUGUCGUCAGCUCGUGUCGUGAGAUGUUGGGUUAAGUCCCGCAACGAGCGCAACCCCUAUUGUUAGUUGCCAUCAUUCAGUUGGGCACUCUAGCGAGACUGCCGGUAAUAAACCGGAGGAAGGUGGGGAUGACGUCAAAUCAUCAUGCCCCUUAUGACCUGGGCUACACACGUGCUACAAUGGUUGGUACAACGAGUUGCGAGUCGGUGACGGCAAGCUAAUCUCUUAAAGCCAAUCUCAGUUCGGAUUGUAGGCUGCAACUCGCCUACAUGAAGUCGGAAUCGCUAGUAAUCGCGGAUCAGCACGCCGCGGUGAUACGUUCCCGGGCCU